GGACUACUAGGGUAUCUAAUCCCGUUCGCUCCCCUGGCUUUCGCACCUGAGCGUCAGGAACCAGCCAGGACCCUGCCUACGCCAUUGGUGUUCCUCCGGAUCUCUACGCAUUUCACCGCUCCACCCGGAAUUCCAGGUCCCUCUCUGGCCCUCCAGUCGGACAGUCUUCGCGACCCUUGGGCAGUUAAGCCGCCCACUGUCCCCGCAAACUUACCCGACCGCCUGCGUGCCCUUUACGCCCAGUAACUCCGGACAACGCUUGCCCCCUACGUAUUACCGCGGCUGCUGGCAC
This 292-nucleotide ribosomal RNA is filed under the name uncultured bacterium. RNAcentral describes it as "partial 16S ribosomal RNA". The record is from RNAcentral.